Hyla sarda is the source of this 2897-nucleotide long non-coding RNA. RefSeq lists it as uncharacterized. NCBI's taxonomy places the organism in Eukaryota, Metazoa, Chordata, Amphibia, Anura, Hylidae. The record is from RefSeq and is a predicted model, not a curated record. The transcript has 2 exons.
GGACGUUCCAACACCCAGGUGGCCAAUGGAAACCUUUCUGACUACCUAGCUGUGUAGAAUUGAGCCGCCUAUGUAGGCCCAAGCCAAAUGAGACAAGCUGCAUACAAUCACUUUCCAGCAGUCUCCUCCUUAUUAUCACAGACAGGAUUACAGUGAAAGAUGACAUGAGUAUACAGACAAGAUGAGAUCGAUUUAUUCACUAUAGGUAAUGCUCAGAGCUCAGCCAAAAUCCCCUGCCACAUGACCUCUGCACAUGUCACAGAGCAUGUCUAGAAAACUCUCCUACAGAAGUGAAUGGGGUCAACUCCAGACUCUAGUAUUGUCAAUGUGGUUUUCUAUAAAGUAUAUCUCUAAAUAUGGUUUAAAGCAGUUGAGGCUGACCCAUAAUAAUGUACUAAAUAUGAAAUAAAAUGUUCAAUAAAAUAGAAAGAUUAGACAAAAAUAACACAUUUGAGUAUUUGGAUAUUAUUGUUAUAAAAAAAAAUACAUAUUUGUCUUUAAAUGUAAGUUCACAUGAGUUUUCCAUCAGAUAAAUCCAUAGAGAAAUCUGUGGUAGAAUUCCAGGGCAUACCCUGUCACUUCUUUUUUAUCAUGAUGUUAAUUUGAAGUACAGCGUGGAUUUCCAAUUAUUACAAUGGUACUUGGGCUCUGCGUAGAUUCCAGUGUAAAACCUUUACUGGAACCUGCAUGAAACAACCUCUAUGCCAUGAAAAACAUGGCCUUACACUGACACAAAGGGAAGCAACCACACACAAGAAUUAUGGCAAGAUACCAACUGCUGUUAUAUGGAAGAACUUGAUGACAUAUGUGCUGUAACUGCUUAGCCACCUAAACAUGGAGUACCUUGGGCCUUGGUAAAUGAAACAUGCCUCUGGACAGUGGAGGGAAUUCAUCAAAAGUGGUGUAGGUGCUUGUCUUUUAACCCUAUUCAUUUGUGUGGUGGAAAUCGUGGGGGUUAUUUAUCAAUAAUGUUCUUUGCUAGAUCAUUUUUGUUGUUUAUCUUGUUGCGUUUUUUUUCUUUUUGUCGGUGCUGCGGCAAAUUUAUCGAUUGUGUGGAAUGGCCCUACCUGUGGGUGACACUGAAGGAAAUGGGUUUUAGACACAGAUUUAUAUCAUGGGUCUGGUAACUUGACAACCCUAGUGCCAGAGUACAUGCUAAUGGUGAGGUCUCUUCAAAUUUUACUCUUUCCCGCAGGACCAGACAGGGAUGCUUGCUAUCACCAUUAUUAUUUGCAGUAGUAAUGGAACCCUUGGCUUCUCUGAUACGUUUAACUAAUGGGAUGAAAGGGUUUAACUAUGGUUCCUAUGUGAAUAAAAUUGCUUUGUAUGAAGAUGAUGCAUUAUUAUUUUUUAAAUGAUACUGGUUCUUCACUAAUUGCGCUAAUAAAGCUUAUGGAUAGAUACAGGAUCCUGUCUGGUAUUUGCAUUAAUUGGAACAAAUCUUUCCUUAUGUUGUUAGAUCGGGAGGUUAAUGAAAAUACUUGUAUAAAAUGUGUAACACAGCUUAAAUACCUUGGUAUUGAAAUUUCUUCAAAUAUAUCUCAAUAUGAAACUCUAAAUAUAGCCCCUUUUCUAAAUAAUUUUAAAUGAAAAUCACUGGCUUGGCGCAGAUUACCCUUUUCAGUUGUGGGUAGAAUUAACCUUAUUAAAAUGGUCUAUAUGUCUCAACUUUUAUAUUUAUUUCAUAAUUCUCCAAUUAGGCUGUCUCCUAGUCCUUUUCAGAGAAUCAUCGGCCAAUUUAGAGACUUGAUCUGGAACGUCCGGAAGCCUAAACUGAAGUUGGAAAAUCUUCAGAGACAUAAAGAUGGUUGUGGGUUGGCACUGUGUCACCUGAACAGUGGGAUUCGGUUUUAAAGGCAGUCCUAAAUCAAUACCUGGGAGAGAGUGGUCAGCUAUCUCAGAUUUAUAUUUUAUAUAGGACAUAUCAAACACCACCUUUUCUUUACCAAAUAGGUCUUAAACGAUAUUCAAACUGUCCGCGGUGUUCACUUCCUGAGGCAGAUCUCAUGCAUAUGUUGUGGAGUUGUACGCACUUGGAGGAAUACUGGAGCUCUUUCCUCAGCAUUAUUGGAAGCAUAUCUGGUUUAGAAAUACCUAGGGAACCAAGAGUCUGUAUCUUGGGUUAUCUGGAUGAUUUACCUAUUGAAGUUAGUUCCAGGAUUGCGGUGGGUCGUAUGUUAUACACUACAAGAACAUUUCUUGCUCAAUUUCUCUUUAGGAUGAAGGUCCUUUUAAGUUGGGAAAGGGCUAUAUAUAAAUAUAUAUAUAUAUAUAUAUAUAUAUUCUAAAAGAAAUAUAUAGGUACUUUGGCAUGAAAGAUAUAAUUGAUACAUUCUCCCCCCCCCCCCCCUUUUUUUUUAUUUUCUCCUCCUCUGCAGCACUAUGGGUGGGGAGUUGGGUGGGAUAAAUAAAUAAGAAAGGGAGAAAUUGCUUAAAUCCUGUAUUUUCUGUUAGAGCUCAUCUGCAUAUAUGUUUUUUUCUUAUUUAUUUGUUGACAAGCUCUGUAUUUAAUAUGUGUCAAUAAAAAUCAAUAUUUAUAAAAAAAAAGAAUUAUCAUAUUUCGUGCAGAUAUGCACAACCACACCCAGAUAAUUUUCUUCUGCCGCUUUCAGAUCACGUCUACCAUGCCUCUGAGGAGCUUGCUUUAAAGGAGAAAAGUGUGGAUGAAGGCGAUUUAAUGGAGGAGGAGGAGCAAUCAUUGGAUAUUGAUAGUGAGUCUCCCUCACAUUUGGGUAGUGGUAGUGGACACAUAUGGUACGCAAACAACACGAGACACAAGAGAACAUCGCCAAACAGGACUAGAGAACUAAACAGCAGCAAGACAACCAUAGUACAAGUAACUCCUUGAUGGUGGUUAGAGUAAUCUUUCUACCAUAAAAUUUAACCCCUGCACGAAA